This 385-nucleotide ribosomal RNA is filed under the name uncultured Streptomyces sp. RNAcentral's name for it is "bacterial SSU rRNA". It matches the Rfam family "Bacterial small subunit ribosomal RNA", at positions 127 to 524 of the family's 1533-position model. Lineage: Bacteria; Bacillati; Actinomycetota; Actinomycetes; Kitasatosporales; Streptomycetaceae. The record is from RNAcentral.
UGCCCUGCAGGCGGGGACAAGCCGUGGGACCGUCCUGAAAGGGCCGGAUACUGGCCCGCCUGGGCGUCCAGGGGGUUCGAAAGCUCCGGCGGGGCAGGAUGAGCCCGCGUUUUAUCAAAUUGUUGGUGAGGUAACGGCUCACCAAGGCGACGACGGGUAGCCGGCCUGAGAGGGCGACCGGCCACACUGGGACUGAGACACGGCCCAGACUCCUACGGGAGGCAGCAGUGGGGAAUAUUGCACAAUGGGCGCAAGCCUGAUGCACCGACCCCGCGUGAGGGAUGACGGCCUUCGGGUUGUAAACCUCUUUCAGCAGGGAAGAAGCGCAAGUGACGGUACCUGCAGAAGAAGCGCCGGUUAUUUACUUGCCCGCAGCCCCGGUAAA